This 520-nucleotide ribosomal RNA is filed under the name uncultured Glomus. RNAcentral's name for it is "SSU rRNA". It matches the Rfam family "Eukaryotic small subunit ribosomal RNA", at positions 569 to 1091 of the family's 1831-position model. Lineage: Eukaryota; Fungi; Glomeromycota; Glomeromycetes; Glomerales; Glomeraceae. The record is from RNAcentral.
AGCAGCCGCGGUAAUUCCAGCUCCAAUAGCGUAUAUUAAAGUUGUUGCAGUUAAAAAGCUCGUAGUUGAAUUUCGAGAUCGGCUUACUGGUCGUGCUUUUGUACGUACUGGUAUAAUCGGUUUCUCCUUUCCGACGAACUAUAAUGCCAUUAAUUUGGUGUUAUAGGGAAUCAGGACUGUUACUUUGAAAAAAUUAGAGUGUUUAAAGCAGGUUCACGCUUGAAUACAUUAGCAUGGAAUAACGGAAUAGGACGUUUGAUUCUAUUUUGUUGGUUUCUAGGAUCGACGUAAUGAUUAAUAAGGAUAGUUGGGGGCAUUAGUAUUCAAUUGUCAGAGGUGAAAUUCUUGGAUUUAUUGAAGACUAACUACUGCGAAAGCAUUUGCCAAGGAUGUUUUCAUUAAUCAAGAACGAAAGUUAGGGGAUCGAAGACGAUCAGAUACCGUCGUAGUCUUAACCAUAAACUAUGCCGACUAGGGAUCGGAUGAUGUUAAUUUUUAAUGUACUCAUUCGGCGCCUUAC